UACGAAGGGGGCUAGCGUUGCUCGGAUUGACUGGGCGUAAAGGGCGCGUAGGCGGUUCGUACAGUCAGACGUGAAAUUCCUGGGCUCAACCUGGGGGCUGCGUUUGAUACGUGCGGACUUGAGUGCGGAAGAGGGUCGUGGAAUUCCCAGUGUAGAGGUGAAAUGCGUAGAUAUCGAGAGGAACACCUGUGGCGAAGGCGAGUCUCUGGACACUUCCUGACGCUGAGGCACGAAAGCCAGGGGAGCAAACGGG
Molecule: ribosomal RNA, 253 nt
Filed under: uncultured prokaryote
Description: partial 16S ribosomal RNA
Rfam family: Bacterial small subunit ribosomal RNA
Source: RNAcentral